UUUGUUAUAUUACUGUGUUACUUUCAAAAAAUCGAAUCUACGAGAUGGAAUUCAACCUGCUUCAAAAAAAGCAGCUAUUGCUUGGACUCUUCUGCUCGAGACUUCUCAUGCACGGAUACCGUUCAUGAACUGAGCGAUUUCACAUAAGGCAAUGACUUUGUGGUACUACUAUCAUUGGCAACGAUUGCUGUGUGGUUCUAUUAUGGCCAAGAGAUGAUAGUGGGACAUUUUUUAAAUAUAAUGUGGGGAAACCGAAAUUACAAGAGGAUUUUGGGAGCUGGAUCUUCAACCAUUGCUCAGAUCGACCAAGCCAAAUUGGACAAACAAAAAUAUAAUCGUGGCAGCAGAGUUGUAAGUCAUUGAAUUUUGGAUCUGGUAAAUACCCCACCUCUCCCCAAAGAAAAAAAAUACAGAUGGUAUUAGUGUUAAAUACUAGGGUGAAAACAUUAGUUUUAGCAAUAAAAGGAAAUGUUGUCGUUGAUAGUGAAAUCUAUAUCUAGUGUUUCAAAAGUUAUGCCAUGCUAAUUGCAGAGGAAUAUCUACUUAGAAUAGUCAAUCAUAACAUGGAUUUUGUAGGUAAGCUAGGAUUUAAUUUGGGUUAGUAUUUACUUCUCAGCCGUCAUGAAGUGGCUGGUUAUUUUAGUACAAACUAAUUUUUGGUCAAUUCAACUAUAGCUCUUGAUGAUAUGUAUACAAAAAAAAAAAAAAAGAAAAAAAGAAAUAGAAUUCAAUUGGUGGCCAGCUAAGGAUUGGAUGAGAUGAAGAGGUCACUUACAUGAAUUUGCAGAUCACUUGUGCCAAUUUUUGUAGUGACGGUUUUGUCGUCAUAACAACAUCGACUUGAUGGCAUCCUUGAUAGAAGUGAUCUGAAGACAGUAAGUAUAGAGCAUGCAAUUUCUCAUUUGUAAAGAUCAAUCAGAUAUCAUCUAUGCAGUCCACUCUUUGGAUGAAGAAUGAAUAGAAGUCAAUAUGGCGUCAGAGUAAUGUGUAAAAUACUCUAAAAACGCUCAACCUUUCAUAGUCAUAACAUCUGAACCAGUAAAUUUUGUAACCUCAAACUUGCAUUUUUGGAUUCUACGCAUCAAAAACUAUAUUUCAACCUAAUUUUGUAGUAUUUCAAUUAAGUAGUAGCAUCUCCAUAUUAGUGCUAAUAUAAAAACGCAUACAUAGAUAUUUUUAAAUUCGCAAUAAAAAGAAAAUUUUUUCUUUCACUUCCAGAUAACAAGAAUGCGAUUUUGUUCCUCCAAAAUCUUAGGGUUUCUUCAGUAUGGAGCGGUGGAAUUGGACUCUGGCUAGCUUA
Molecule: unclassified non-coding RNA, 1300 nt
Filed under: Bombus terrestris (buff-tailed bumblebee)
Lineage: Eukaryota; Metazoa; Arthropoda; Insecta; Hymenoptera; Apidae
Description: misc RNA ENSBTSG00005025208.1
Source: RNAcentral